GAUGAACGCUAGCGGCAGGCCUAAUACAUGCAAGCUGAACGGCAAUCCCGCCAGCAAUGGCGGGACUAGAGUAGCGUAAGGGUGCGUAACACGUAUGCAAUCUGCCCCUCAACAGGAGGAUAGCUCCCCGAAAGGGAAUUAAGACUCCAUAAUAUCAUUUAAUGGCAUCAUUGGAUGAUUAAACUACCAGGGGUUGAGGAUGAGCAUGCGCAU
RNAcentral lists this ribosomal RNA (213 nucleotides) under uncultured bacterium. RNAcentral's name for it is "partial 16S ribosomal RNA". It matches the Rfam family "Bacterial small subunit ribosomal RNA", at positions 28 to 238 of the family's 1533-position model. The record is from RNAcentral.